RNAcentral lists this ribosomal RNA (325 nucleotides) under uncultured eukaryote. RNAcentral describes it as "partial 18S ribosomal RNA". It matches the Rfam family "Eukaryotic small subunit ribosomal RNA", at positions 1470 to 1796 of the family's 1831-position model. The record is from RNAcentral.
CCCUUAGAUGUUCUGGGCCGCACGCGCGCUACACUGAUGCAUUCAACGAGUCUAAAACCUGCUCUGAUAGGGGUGGGUAAUCUUUUGAAUGUGCAUCGUGAUUGGGAUAGAUGAUUGCAAUUUUUCAUCUUCAACGAGGAAUGCCUAGUAAACGCAAGUCAUCAGCUUGCAUUGAUUACGUCCCUGCCCUUUGUACACACCGCCCGUCGCACCUACCGAUUGAAUGGUCCGGUGAAAUCUCCGGACUGGCGUGAGUCGGAGCAAUCUGACAAACGCCGGAAAGUUGAUUAAACCUUACCAUUUAGAGGAAGGUGAAGUCGUAACA